RNAcentral lists this ribosomal RNA (292 nucleotides) under uncultured bacterium. Its description in RNAcentral is "partial 16S ribosomal RNA". It matches the Rfam family "Bacterial small subunit ribosomal RNA", at positions 505 to 796 of the family's 1533-position model. The record is from RNAcentral.
GUGCCAGCAGCCGCGGUAAUACAGAGGGGGCAAGCGUUGUCCGGACUUACUGGGUGUAAAGCGCAUGCAGGUGGCUGUGCAAGUAUGCUGUGAAAGCCCCGUGCUUAACACGGGGAGGCCAGUAUAGACUGCACGGCUCGAGGACUGCAGAGGGUAGGGGAAUUGCUGGUGUAGUGGUGAAAUGCGUAGAGAUCAGCAGGAACACCAAGGCCGAAGGGACCUACCUGGGCAGUAUCUGACACUCAAGUGCGACAGCGUGGGGAGCGAACCGGAUUAGAUACCCGCGUAGUCC